CUCACUCUGUAGCCCAUGGGUUCCAUUCUCAGGACACACAUGGUAGCUCACAACCAUCUGUAACUAGUUCCAGGGCAUCUGACCCCUCUGUUGACCUCUGUAGGUCCCUUGCAUGCACAUGGCCCAUGGACAUAUAUUCAGGUUCACACACAUACACUUAACAUUAAAUUUAAGAAAGUAAUCUCUAGGGUUGAAGAGACAGCUCAGUGGUUAAGAGCACUUGAUGCCCUUGUAGUGAACCCAGGUUCUGUUCCCACAUGGUGGCUCAAAACACUCUGGAACUCCAGUUCCAGGGGGAUCUGACAUCCUCUUCUGGCUUCUGUGAUAUACAUGCAUACAGGCAAAACACUCACACCUAUAAACUUAAUUUUUAAAAAUACACUAUUUGCUAUAGUGUAUGUGGUGGUGUGUGUGUCUGAAAUCCCAACAUUCAGGAGGCAGAAGCAGGAGGACCAAGAGUUCAAGGCCUCCAGUGGUGGUGGUGGUGGCGGCGGCGGCAGCAGCAGCGCACACCUUUAACCCCAGCGCUGGAGAGGCAGAGGUUGGUUGAUCUCUGUGAGUUCCAGGCCAGCCUGGUCUACAAAGCGAGUUCCAAGACAGCCAGGCUACACAGAGAAACUCUGUUUCCCAAAAAUAAAUAAAUAAGUAAAUAAGUAAAUAAAUAAAUAAUAAAUAGAGAGUUCAAGGCCAUCUUUGGCUACUCAGUGAGUUCAAGACGCCCUGAAGCUAUAUGGAACCCUGUCUCAACACAACAGCGGACCUGGCAGCUGACUGGGUGGGGGCAGAGCCUUCAUAAGGAUGCUACAAGACACCACAACAUCCCCCUUCUCUGCCAUGCAAGGACACAGCUGGAGACAAGCCAAGACAGGCAGGAGAGCUCCCCAAAGUCCAACCUGCCGCCUCUGAGACCUGAGGAUCCCCGCUUCUAGAAAUGCAGGAGACAAAUGUGUCACCGAAGCCACCUGUCAGCAGUUUUUGUCCUAUCAGCUAAGGUGACUAAGACAAGACCCCACAUGGCAUGAACUGCUGGGCGCCUCUCUGGCCUUCUGCUACCUGUUUGGGAAAGAGAACAAAGUGGGACCAUGUUGGGACUGCUAAGUCAGAAGAGCUGGCAGGGAAGGGCUCGACAGUUCCUCGGUCAUCAUGAGAGGGCUGGGUCUAUCAGCUUCUGGUGUCAACAAGGCUGGGGACGACAGGGUCAAAGGGUCACUAGGUGGACUUGCUAGCAAGAUGAGUUAAAAGUUGAAAGAGCAAUACAAUGAAACCCGCACACUUCUCACCUAGACACACCAAUUUUGCCAUCUGUCCAUUCUCUCUCUCUCUCUCUCUCUCUCUCUCUCUCUCUCUCUCUCUCUCUCUCUCUCUCGCUGUCUCUGUCUCUCUCUCUCUCUGUCAUUCUCUGUGUAACUACUGAAAUCUUGACAGACAAUUCCAGCAUGCAGGCCUGACAACCUGAGUCUGACCCCCACAGGUUGCCCUCUGACCUCCAUAUGGGCACCAUGCCACUGGCAUGAGCACACACGCGAAAUAAAUAAGUAUAUUCAUAAUAAAGAAUUUUAGCCUGUAUCUCUAACAAUAGAUCUCUCUCCUUUCUAAGUGCUACGACUCUAACCCACGACGACCUCAUCUAAACCAGGCAAGUGCUUUACCACGGGGCAACAUCUCUAGCCUUCAAGGACAUUUUUCCAUAGAAACUUAGUGUCAGUACUGCACACAAAAAGUCCAGUACUGCACACAAAAAGUCCAGUACUGCACACAAAAAGUCCAGUACUGCACACAAAAAGUCCAGCACUGAGACCACAUUUACAAAUGUCUUAGUGUUGGAGAUUUAGCUAGAUAGUACCUUGCUUAGCAUGCCCCACGCUUCAGUUCCACUCCAAGUACCACACACACAAAAGUCCCUACUCUGGGCCUGGAGAGGUGGCUCAGCACUUGAUGCUCUUGAAGAGGACUUGGAUUGUGUUCUUAGAACCUACAUGGCGGCUCACAACCAUCUGUAAUUCCAGUUCCAGGGGACCAGACGCCCUCUGGCCUUUGCAUGUAGUGCAUAUACAUGCAUGCAGGCAAAUAUUCACACACAUAAAAUAAAAAUAAAUGAAUCUUUUUAACAAAGCCCUUACUGUGUGUUUAUUUUUGCUGUUUUGAGAGGGUCUUGCUGUGCUGCCCCAGCUGGCCCUUGGACUCGAAUGAGACUCCUAUCUCAGUCUCCAAGUAUACAGUAUACCACAUAAAUACAGUCGCACUCAGCUCUUAUUUUGUUCUUGAGUAGAACUAGAACCCACAUGCCAGGAGAUCUGACUGUGGCACAGACUAAGCGUCUAACCCCAGAGUCACUGGAAUGACCCUGUGCCAUGGUCUCUCAGGGACUCUUCCCAUAUAGACAUGACCUUGCUGGGAUGCUGAUAUCUCACAGGGGACCUGACUACCCUAAAACCCCAGCAUACACAUCAGCAUCAAGAAAGUUCUGCUCCCUGGCUUUGAGAAGGACCGACUUUUGUCCAGACACUGUUGCCUCAUCGUUCUCUGCAGGAACUAGGUACGCCCACCAUGUUUCCUACACUGACCACCCCAAGUAAUCCCCACGAGAGAGGUAAAAACACAUUCUAAUAAUAUGAUUCUACCUUUCGGAGUCCCUGCCUGGGCUGUCAACUGAUGGGGAGUGGGGAGGAAGGCCGGCCCCUCCCGACCUCAGGUUGGCCGCCCCCACCCCCCUUGAGUCUGCACUCAGGCCUCAGUCUAUAACUGCUUCCUCCCACCACCUGGUCCCUGGCCUUAGGGCACCCAGCCUUCGAGAGGGGAUGCUGCCCAAGUGAUCUACAGCAGCAGCUGAAGGCUGCCUCCCUGGGCUCCAGAUCCUUUUCAAUAAUCAGCUUUGUGAGGCAGAGGCUGCAGCUGCCACAGACUGCCCAGGCCUUGCUGGGAAAGGAGAAGACUGGAUUAGGAGGGAAGUAGUUAAUGGAAAAUGAAGAGGGGAUGAGGUGGGGAGAGUGAGUUAAGCCUCUCAGGGGCAGUGGCUCCCGGCCAACAGCAGGUGGGGUGGUUCCUGAUCCCUGGCUGCUGCCUUUCACUUAGGGACCAUGAACGGGGCCUCCACUGAGGGCACCAUCCAGCCAGAGCUUCUCAUCCCAACCCAAGUUAUCUUCCCUGGGGGCAUACCUCGUCCCCCCUCCCCUCUAGGGUGAUCAUCAGAAGAAAGUGCUGGGAACACUUGGAAAUGCCUGAGUCCAUUUCAAGACAACUUCUAAGCAGCAACUUCUAGCACUACAGCACACUACUGGGAAGUGUGGAAGGCACACACACACACACCUGUCUCCCAGGCCUGCCCUCACCUAGGAUUCUGCCCACUUGACAUUUCGGGCAGGAGUCCAGGGAGCUGGUCAGCAUCCGUGCUCACAGGUGAUGGGCCUGAUUUCCAAAUGAGGAAACUGCCUUACUGUUUAGUGGAUUCCCUCGGGAUAGCUCGCUGCCAUCUUGAAUUCCCUACAUUGUACCUGGUCCUCCAAAGCAUCCACUAACCUGGGUGUGGUGGUGAGUGCCUAUGAUCCUAGGAUUUUGUUUUGUUUUUUCUUUUGGAGUGGGGGUGGGGGUCUCAUCAUGUAGACCAAGAUGGAUUUGAACUUACAGAGUUCUGUCCUCUUCUGUCUCCUGAGUGCUUGGAAUAAAGGUGUGAGUCACCAGGCUUUGGGAAGUUGAGACAGGAGGAUUUUCAGUUUGAGGUCAGCCUUGAAUAUAUAGUAGGCUCCAGGUCAGGCCGGCCAGGCUACAUGUCAAGAAUUUACCUCAACCAACCAAAACCAGAAAAAAAUCCAAAAUGCCCGCUCGGGUUAAUUAUAUGAAGGCCCCUGUUUCAAUACUAUACUGACCCCAUUGCAGGACGAGUGUCUCAAAAAGCCUUGUAGGAUGUUCCUGAGGAAAUUGCCCUGCUCCAAAGGAUCAAGAUAGGACUGUGCCCCCCCCCCCCCCCAAAGACACCUUGGUCUAGAUAAAAUCUGCUGCUGGGCGAAAGAGGAACAAUUUGAAACAGGGCUGGUGGAGAGGGCCAGAGAUGGCCUGAGAGGAGUCCCAAGCCCCACCUGCCAUUCACCCCAGGUCUGUGAGCCUCCAGCAGCUUUCCACUCUCCCUGGGUUGAACACAAUAGCUCUCCUCACAGCCUGGCUCGGGGCAAGUUAGAAGCCACUCUAAUGACACAAUUAGUCACCCACUUGUCAAGCAAAGAGCCUGCUAGUCGGGGGGUCUGGCAGACUCAGCAAAGAGAGAGGCCUGGGCCCAGGCUCGCUGCCGCCUCUUCUGUCCCAAGAGCUUUACUCUGGUGCAAACUAUUGUAUCCAGCAAGGGAAGAAGAGGCGCCCAUAGACCACACACCAACGCAGCAAGCCCACGGCUGCCACUGUCCUAGCCAUCCUGCCUUCAGGAUGAAGGCUCAGAAGAACAAAGUGUUUAAAUCUGACCAAAUACCAGAGUGGGUGGCCCGGCCUGGAGCUGUGAAAUCCCAGGAACCUGAGACUAACCAGGAUCCAAUCCACAGAGCAUCAGAGAACGAGUGUAUGAGGGAUACCCUGUAGAAGGCCUGGCCAGCUGAUGACUGGCUCCCAGGAGGUGGGGACAGGGGUGGUGGGGUAGGUGGUGGGGUAGCGCCUCUUCUUGCACCUUUUGUUCCACACAAGCCUGACUCGUCUGCAACCCAGGGGGUGGGGAUUGAGUGUGUCAAACCUACAGGCAGUUUUAAAACGACAAUAACAUGCAUCCCAGCAAGUGCUCCUCCUUCGACUCCAGUCCUCCCAGCCUCAUACAACGCCCACAUUGACUCUGGAAUCUGGAUUUCAAGUUGACCUAAAAGACAGGCAACUUCCCUUCUCGCACACCCCAUCCCAAAGUACUGUGAUGUCAAGAGUAAGCUAACUCCAAUUCAGACCUUGAGAUUGGCUUCAUUUCAGCCCUGUGCAGAAGUUUGAUCUGAAGACCUGUGAUCCCAGCAAUCGAAAAGUGGAUGGGUGCAAGAGGAUCAGGAGUUCAAGGUCUUCCUCGGAUACAGUAAAUUCUGGGCCAUAGAAGAUCCUGUCUCAAAACAACACACACCGCACACAGAAAUGCUCAUCUUUGAGUAUUGGUGGUCUGGGUGCUACGGGGGAACGUGUGGAGGCGAGUCCAAGGAGGUUCAUGGAAACUGAACACUAAUUCCCCCAAAAGGAAAAUAAUUCAAAGUGAGACAUGGUGGCUCUCACCCUUGAUCCCAGAUCCCAGCACUCCAGAGGCAGAGGCAGAUGGUUCUCUGUGAGUUCAAACAUAGUUUGAUCUACAUAGCAAGUUCCAAGUCAGCCAGGGUUGCAUAUGAGACCCUGUCCAGGAAAUCUCUCAUGAAGUGGGUUACUGGCAGCCAUGGCCUACAGCUGUGGCAUUCAUGAGUUUUUGCUGAAGGCUUCUCAUCGCAGCUUCAGCAAGGGGCUGGAAUGAGGUGAAAAGGGUGUUUUUGUUUUUCCAUGUCUUUUCUAGGGUUCUAUUGAUUAAAGUGUAGAACACA
Long non-coding RNA from Peromyscus californicus insignis, 5519 nucleotides. RefSeq lists it as uncharacterized. The transcript is spliced from 2 exons. Lineage: Eukaryota; Metazoa; Chordata; Mammalia; Rodentia; Cricetidae. The record is from RefSeq and is a predicted model, not a curated record.